CGGGUGAGUAAUGUCUGGGAAACUGCCUGAUGGAGGGGGAUAACUACUGGAAACGGUAGCUAAUACCGCAUAGCGUCGCAAGACCAAAGAGGGGACCUUCGGGCCUCUUGCCAUCGGAUGUGCCCAGAUGGGAUUAGCUAGUAGGUGGGGUAACGGCUCACCUAGGCGACGAUCCCUAGCUGGUCUGAGAGGAUGACCAGCCACACUGGAACUGAGACACGGUCCAG
This 227-nucleotide ribosomal RNA is filed under the name uncultured bacterium. RNAcentral describes it as "partial 16S ribosomal RNA". It matches the Rfam family "Bacterial small subunit ribosomal RNA", at positions 103 to 334 of the family's 1533-position model. The record is from RNAcentral.